This 65-nucleotide non-coding RNA is filed under the name unclassified sequences. Its description in RNAcentral is "DUF3800-VIII RNA". It matches the Rfam family "DUF3800-VIII RNA". From Rfam's summary of the family: Bacteroidetes, Cyanobacteria, Firmicutes, Planctomycetes (1 example), Proteobacteria, Tenericutes (1 example). The record is from Rfam by way of RNAcentral.
AAAUCCCUGCCAAACCGAAGUCUGACGUUAUGCGUCAGAUACUAAUGUAGGUGCGGUGGGGGUUU